RNAcentral lists this ribosomal RNA (482 nucleotides) under uncultured bacterium. Its description in RNAcentral is "partial 16S ribosomal RNA". It matches the Rfam family "Bacterial small subunit ribosomal RNA", at positions 30 to 507 of the family's 1533-position model. The record is from RNAcentral.
AUUGAACGCUGGCGGCAUGCCUUACACAUGCAAAUCGAACGGUAACGGGCCUUCGGGUGCCGACGAGUGGCGAACGGGUGAGUAAUACAUCGGAACGUGCCCGAUCGUGGGGGAUAACGAGGCGAAAGCUUUGCUAAUACCGCAUACGAUCUACGGAUGAAAGCAGGGGACCGCAAGGCCUUGCGCGGACGGAGCGGCCGAUGGCAGAUUAGGUAGUUGGUGGGAUAAAAGCUUACCAAGCCGACGAUCUGUAGCUGGUCUGAGAGGAUGAUCAGCCACACUGAGACUGAGACACGGCCCAGACUCCUACGGGAGGCAGCAGUGGGGAAUUUUGGACAAUGGGCGCAAGCCUGAUCCAGCCAUGCCGCGUGCAGGAUGAAGGCCUUCGGGUUGUAAACUGAUUUUGUACGGAACGAAAAGCCUUCUUUUAAUACAGGAGGGUCAUGACGGUACCGUAAGAAUAAGCACCGGCUAACUACGUG